UCGGACGUGGUGCACGGUGCACACCCACUCGCUAAGCUUGUCUUUCACCAAAGUAGUACUUAUGUGGGAGGCCUGGGUUCGACUCCCAGUGUCCGAU
This is a non-coding RNA of Mycena galericulata, 97 nucleotides long. NCBI's taxonomy places the organism in Eukaryota, Fungi, Basidiomycota, Agaricomycetes, Agaricales, Mycenaceae. The record is from the annotation of a GenBank genome assembly.